This 429-nucleotide ribosomal RNA is filed under the name Bacteroidota bacterium. Its description in RNAcentral is "Bacteroidetes bacterium partial 16S ribosomal RNA". It matches the Rfam family "Bacterial small subunit ribosomal RNA", at positions 355 to 776 of the family's 1533-position model. Lineage: Bacteria; Pseudomonadati; Bacteroidota. The record is from RNAcentral.
UAGGGAAUCUUCCGCAAUGGACGCAAGUCUGACGGAGCAACGCCGCGUGAGUGAAGAAGGAUUUCGGUUCGUAAAACUCUGUUGUUAGAGAAGAACAGCGCAUAGAGUAACUGUUAUGCGUGUGACGGUAUCUAACCAGAAAGCCACGGCUAACUACGUGCCAGCAGCCGCGGUAAUACGUAGGUGGCAAGCGUUGUCCGGAUUUAUUGGGCGUAAAGCGAGCGCAGGCGGUCAAUUAAGUCUGAUGUGAAAGCCCCCGGCUCAACCGGGGAGGGUCAUUGGAAACUGGUUGACUUGAGUGCAGAAGAGGAGAGUGGAAUUCCAUGUGUAGCGGUGAAAUGCGUGGAUAUAUGGAGGAACACCAGUGGCGAAGGCGACUCUCUGGUCUGUAACUGACGCUGAGGCUCGAAAGCGUGGGUAGCAAACAGG